CAGUUGGACAAGACCAAGGAAAGGAAAAGACCAGGAACAAAAUGUUUCCAGUUUGGCUCAAGAUGCCAACAAUCAAAUCGAAGAAACCAAAGAGAGGAUCACAGAGUCUCCUUGUAAGCCAGGACUCUCCUGUUGCAAACACUAAGCUCAGUGAGACGCUGGCUGAGGUCGCCAAGGCUCCUGUAUCUGCUGGCCCACCGGAGAUGCCACAGGAGGAAGAGACCGUAGGGUGCUGUUUCUUCAGGAUGCCAAAAUUCAAGUUCUCCUUCAAGGUGGAGUUCAGUUUCUAUGCGAGAUGUUAUUGUAAUUUUAGACAUUAUGUGUACUAAUGCUGGUCAGAGAGGCUACUGAGUGAAGAACACAUUGGUGUAACAUGAUCUGUGAGUAUGCAGUUUAGAUAUUUAAUUAUUCAUUACAAUUUGAAUCUGAAAUGAUUUAAUCUCUCUCUCACUUUAUCAGAAAAUGAGGAAAGGUGCUAAAAUUGGGC
This is a long non-coding RNA of Clupea harengus (Atlantic herring), 487 nucleotides long. RefSeq lists it as uncharacterized. The record is from RefSeq and is a predicted model, not a curated record. The transcript has 3 exons. NCBI's taxonomy places the organism in Eukaryota, Metazoa, Chordata, Actinopteri, Clupeiformes, Clupeidae.